GGCGGCCCGCAAGGGUCAGUCGAGCGGCGAACGGGUGAGUAACGCGUGGAUGACCUGCCCUUUAGUGGGGAACAACCAGGGGAAACUCUGGCUAAUACCGCAUAAGACCGUGAGGUGAAAGGGGGCUCGCAAGGGCUCUCGCUGAAGGAGGGGUCCGCGUCCGAUUAGCUAGUUGGUAGGGUAAUGGCCUACCAAGGCGACGAUCGGUAGCCGGCCUGAGAGGGUGAUCGGCCACACUGGAACUGAGACACGGUCCAGACUCCUACGGGAGGCAGCAGUGGGGAAUUUUGCGCAAUGGGCUAACGCCUGACGCAGCAACGCCGCGUGGAGGAUGAAGGUCUUUGGAUUGUAAACUCCUGUCAGCGGGGAAAAAGCGACCGGUGCUCAUACCACCGGGAGUUGAUUGUACCCGCAGAGGAAGCCCCGGCUAACUCUGUGCCAGCAGCCGCGGUAAUACAGAGGGGGCAAGCGUUAUUCGGAAUUAUUGGGCGUAAAGGGCGCGUAGGCGGCUUCGCAAGUGGAAGGUGAAAUCCCUCGGCUUAACCGAGGAACUGCCCUCCAAACUGCGUUGCUUGAGGCCGGGAGAGGUGAGUGGAAUUCCCAGUGUAGCGGUGAAAUGCGUAGAUAUUGGGAGGAACACCAGUGGCGAAGGCGGCUCACUGGACCGGUUCUGACGCUGAUGCGCGAAAGCGUGGGGAGCAAACGGGAUUAGAUACCCCGGUAGUCCACGCCGUAAACGAUGAGUGCUUGGUGUAGCGGGUAUCGACCCCUGCUGUGCCGAAGUCAACACAUUAAGCACU
Molecule: ribosomal RNA, 800 nt
Filed under: uncultured Bacillota bacterium
Lineage: Bacteria; Bacillati; Bacillota
Description: bacterial SSU rRNA
Rfam family: Bacterial small subunit ribosomal RNA
Source: RNAcentral